This 531-nucleotide long non-coding RNA is filed under the name Homo sapiens (human). RNAcentral describes it as "non-protein coding lnc-XPC-9:2". The record is from RNAcentral. Lineage: Eukaryota; Metazoa; Chordata; Mammalia; Primates; Hominidae.
CCUGUGGUUGGGUGGCUUCCCAGCACCCACUGUGUGGUGGGGUGGAGAGCCUCGGCUGGGGUUCACGGGGCUGUGCUCUCAUCUCCCCAGCCUUGUCUUCAACUCCCUUUUCCUCGCCGACCUUGAACCACGCCUUUUCCUGCAACAACCCCAGCACCCUUCCCCGUGGAUCCCAGCCCAUGAGUCCUCGAACUACAAUGGGGCGGAGGAGGCAGCGAAGAAGGGAACACAAGAGCUCGUUGUCGCUAGCCUCCAGCACGGUGGGGCCGGGCGGGCAGAUUGUGCACACGGAGACCACGGAGGUCGUGCUCUGUGGAGACCCCCUCAGCGGCUUUGGCCUCCAGCUCCAGGGCGGCAUCUUCGCCACCGAGACCCUGUCCUCCCCACCCCUCGUGUGCUUCAUCGAGCCUGACAGUCCGGCUGAGAGGUGAGCCUCCUGCCCCCUCCCUACUGAGCCUGCCACUCUCUGAGAGAAACUGAGUCACAGCACCAAGCCCUAGCUUCACAAGCGCAUCUCACUUAACCAUUGCA